RNAcentral lists this ribosomal RNA (1238 nucleotides) under Urolabida histrionica. Its description in RNAcentral is "16S ribosomal RNA". The stretch from base 826 to 1187 matches the Rfam family "Archaeal large subunit ribosomal RNA", at positions 2150 to 2716 of the family's 2987-position model. Lineage: Eukaryota; Metazoa; Arthropoda; Insecta; Hemiptera; Urostylididae. The record is from RNAcentral.
UUCUUAAUAGGUUAAUAUUAAAUUGAUUGUGAUUAUUUUUAUAAAAAUAAUUUUUUAUUUAGUAUUGUUUAAAUAAUUUUAUUUGUAAUUUAUAGUUUAUUGUACUGUGAAGGAUACUCAAUAAAGUAUAUAUAAGUAGAUCUUAAAGUUGUACCUUUUGUAUCAGGGUUUAUCAAUUUGAAACAUUUAUUUUGUUAAUCCCGAAAUCAUAAGAGAUAUUUUUGUAUUUAAUUUAAUGUGACAUAAUUAUUAAUUAUACUAAGAUAGGAGUUAUAUGCUAUUCAUUUAUGAAUAUCUGGUUUCUCAAGGAUUGAAUUUAAUUUGUAUACAUUUAUUUAGUUUAGGUAUAUUUAUUCUGAACUGUUAUAUGUGUAAAGUUUUAUAGGGAUAAUCUUAUAAUAGUUUUUAUAAAUGAGCAUUUUAAUAUAAUUAUGUAAAAUUAAUAAUUUUUUUCAUAUAUUUUGUAAUAAUGAUGUUUAUUAUUUAACUUAAUUUAUUGACUGAUUUUAAAUUUUAAUUGAGUAUUUUUAUAUAACUUGUAAUUGUAAGUUAUAAUGAUAGAAUUAGUAAAUUUAAAUUUAUAUUAAUAGGAACUCGGCAAAUGGAAUACUCACCUGUUUAACAAAAACAUGUCUUAUUGAGAUUUAAGUAAUAAGUCAGACCUGCCCAGUGAUUUAUUUAACGGCUGCAGUAAUUUGACUGUGCAAAGGUAGCAUAAUCAAUUGUCUUUUAAUUGAAGGCUAGUAUGAAUGGUUUAAUGAGGUAUUAUCUUUCUUUUUUUAUAUUAAUUGAAUUUAAUUUUUGUGUUAAAAAGCAUAAAUAUUAUUAGAGGACGAGAAGACCCUAUAGAAUUUUAAUACUGUAAUGUAUUUAUAUAUAUGAUAUUAUUUUAUUUUAUUUUAAGGUAUUUUUGUUGGGGUGAUGGGGAGAUUUACAUAACUUUCUUUAAUUUUUUAUACUAAUUUGUAUACUUACGAUCCUAUCUUUAGAUUAUAAGAUUAAAUUACCUUAGGGAUAACAGCGUUAUUGUAUUGGAGAGUUCUUAUCGAUAAUACAGUUUGCGACCUCGAUGUUGGAUUAAAAUUAGUAAUUAGUGCAGUAGCUAAUUAACUAGGUCUGUUCGACCUUUAAACUUUUACAUGAUCUGAGUUCAGACCGGCGUGAGCCAGGUUGGUUUCUAUCCUUAAAAUUAUUUAAUAUUUUAGUACGAAAGGACCAUUUAUUGUGAAAAUUUUAUU